Molecule: long non-coding RNA, 253 nt
Filed under: Olea europaea (common olive)
Lineage: Eukaryota; Viridiplantae; Streptophyta; Magnoliopsida; Lamiales; Oleaceae
Description: long non-coding RNA (OEUR_LNC003891)
Source: RNAcentral
GGAAUAGGAGCUAUGGAAGUAAUAAUAGGAGAAGUGGGUACCUCGAUAGGAGCAUUUGGAGUAGGCUCAGCAACUGAAUGAAUAUACGGAGGUACCUCUGGAUCAACUGUGAUACGAGUAGAGGUAGGAACUGCCGAUGCAGAUUCUGACUCAGUCACAACUGCGGUAGUAGUAGUGGGAAGCACAGAAGGCACUGCUGAAACUGGAACCCACUGCUUCUUUGGCUCCACAAACGUCACCUUGCCCUUAUCCU